Molecule: ribosomal RNA, 506 nt
Filed under: uncultured bacterium
Lineage: Bacteria
Description: partial 16S ribosomal RNA
Rfam family: Bacterial small subunit ribosomal RNA
Source: RNAcentral
AUUGAACGCUGGCGGCAGGCUUAACACAUGCAAGUCGAGCGGUAACAGAGAGAAGCUUGCUUCUCUGCUGACGAGCGGCGGACGGGUGAGUAAUGCCUAAGAAUCUGCCUAGUAGUGGGGGAUAACUUGCCGAAAGGUAAGCUAAUACCGCAUACGUCCUACGGGAGAAAGGAGGGGACCUUCGGGCCUUUCGCUAUUAGAUGAGCCUAGGUCGGGUUAGUUAGUUGGUGAGGUAAUGGCUCACCAAGACCGCGAUCCGUAACUGGUCUGAGAGGAUGAUCAGUCACACUGGAACUGAGACACGGUCCAGACUCCUACGGGAGGCAGCAGUGGGGGAUAUUGGACAAUGGGGGGAACCCUGAUCCAGCCAUGCCGCGUGUGUGAAGAAGGUCUUAGGAUUGUAAAGCACUUUAAGUUGGGAGGAAGAGCAGUUAACUAAUAUUUGACUGUUUUGACGUUACCGACAGAAUAAGCACCGGCUAACUUCGUGCCAGCCGCCGCCGUAA